Molecule: ribosomal RNA, 494 nt
Filed under: uncultured bacterium
Lineage: Bacteria
Description: partial 16S ribosomal RNA
Rfam family: Bacterial small subunit ribosomal RNA
Source: RNAcentral
GACGAACGCUGGCGGCGUGCUUAACACAUGCAAGUCGAACGGUGAAGCGCCUUCCUUUUUGGUGGGUGUGGAUGAGUGGCGAACGGGUGAGUAACACGUGAGUAACCUGCCCCCUUCUUCUGGAUAACCGCAUGAAAGUGUGGCUAAUACGGGAUAUUCUGGGUCUGUCGCAUGAUGGGUCUGGGAAAGAUAUUGUUUCGGUGGGGGAUGGGCUCGCGGCCUAUCAGCUUGUUGGUGGGGUGAUGGCCUACCAAGGCGGUGACGGGUAGCCGGCCUGAGAGGGUGGACGGUCACACUGGGACUGAGGCACGGCCCGGACUCCUACGGGAGGCAGCAGUGGGGAAUAUUGCACAAUGGGCGCAAGCCUGAUGCAGCGACGCCGCGUGAGGGAUGGAGGCCUUCGGGUUGUGAACCUCUUUCGCCAGUGAAGCAGGCCUGCCUCGUUUGUGGGUGGGUUGACGGUAGCUGGAUAAGAAGCGCCGGCUAACUACGUG